GGGGACAUAGCUCAGCUGGGAGAGCGCGGGCUUUGCAAGCCUGAGGUCGUGGGUUCGAUCCCCAUUGUCUCCA
Molecule: transfer RNA, 73 nt
Filed under: Atopobium deltae
Lineage: Bacteria; Bacillati; Actinomycetota; Coriobacteriia; Coriobacteriales; Atopobiaceae
Rfam family: tRNA
About the family: Transfer RNA (tRNA) molecules are approximately 80 nucleotides in length. Their secondary structure includes four short double-helical elements and three loops (D, anti-codon, and T loops). Further hydrogen bonds mediate the characteristic L-shaped molecular structure. tRNAs have two regions of fundamental functional importance: the anti-codon, which is responsible for specific mRNA codon recognition, and the 3' end, to which the tRNAs corresponding amino acid is attached (by aminoacyl-tRNA synthetases). tRNAs cope with the degeneracy of the genetic code in two manners: having more than one tRNA (with a specific anti-codon) for a particular amino acid; and 'wobble' base-pairing, i.e. permitting non-standard base-pairing at the 3rd anti-codon position.
Source: Rfam by way of RNAcentral